RNAcentral lists this long non-coding RNA (2604 nucleotides) under Priapulus caudatus. RNAcentral describes it as "uncharacterized LOC106815806". The record is from RNAcentral. Lineage: Eukaryota; Metazoa; Priapulida; Priapulimorpha; Priapulimorphida; Priapulidae.
UGGUGGAGGAUGCAACGAUCUGCAUUCGCUACGCUAAUCCCCCGAAACCAAAAGAAGACGAAGAAGGAAAAGAAGAUUCUGCAUUCGCUACGUACGCUACGCUGAUUCCCCAGAUGAUGAAAAAAAAGAGAGAGAAGAAGAGCAUCGGGAGAGAAGAAGAGCGGGGGAGGAAGAUAAUGGAGAGGCAUGCAGCCAUGUUGUGAUGUCCUCCAAGCUCGACAGCCUUGAUCCAGAGCCCGCGCAGAGCAAAGUCGAGGAGCAGCAGAAGAAGUAGUCUAACACGGCGACGAUAUGGUAAGCUACAUCGUAAUUUUACUGUAUACAUAGCCACAAAUUCGGAAAUAAUUUAUUAACAGUAAAACAGCUCGCGAAGUGCCGAGCAGCGCGCGAAUUUUCGUAGCUAGAGUGGUAUUCGAAUUUCAUGGUAACGGCGUACAGUGACUCAAGCGUCGAAAGUAUAUAGUAAGCCUAUGCGAUGAGAGGGGCGAGACGCCCAGCCGCUUCCAAGUAUGACCUCGAACGUGGCCAAUAGGGUAAGCUAAAAUUAGCGUCCCUGCCAACAGAGGCAUACUACGGCACAAAACUUACCAUAGAGCGUUAAUUAAAGGUGACGAGCUAAAACAGCUCCGCCCGGGAAUUGGGUAUGUCCGAUUUCGUCACGCGUCGCGUCAUUUUUGAGUCACGGCUACUGCCGAUACCAUUGGGUCGAUACCACGAAUUCAAAAUUUUUAUAAACAAAGAGUUGACUAUGUAUAUGUGUUUACGAUAUAGCUUACAGCCGGUCCUAUCUGUAUUUUAUGUUUUGUCGUUUGUUUGUUUGUAUAUUGUUUCUUUUGAUUAACCGAUGACUAUAACGUGUUUUAAGUGGUAAGAGGUAAUUAACCUUGAUUGCCAUCCUUCCUAGCCUUUCCAUGCCGAUUCGUGUUGAGUUACCGUUACAUACUGUCGCCCCUUCCUGUGAUACGAAAAUGUGCGCACAUUUUUACUAGACAGCUGCAGCUCCCCUCAGCCCGUUUCAAAACCGGACUUUCCAUCCCUUCUCUACCCCAAGGAUUUACCUCACCAUCAUGCCUUAGACUAACGUUUUUAACUUUUAAUGUUUUUACGUAUAACUGUAUUUACGUGGGGACACGAAUUCUUUCGAGAGGAAACGAAGGAUUGUUGUAUUGUGUGUACGGGUACAUUGUGCGUUGUAAUUAACCGGUAGCGCUUAUAGCCAGGCGAGGCAGUGGGACUAAUUGUCCUGUUCGUUGUUCGUGUUGUUUUUGUAAUGACACGGGACGCGCCUCUUAGCCCGCAAGGUCCGGCCGAUAAUAAUUAUUAAACCGGUUGGAUCCAGAUGUCGCCGGGCCAUUUUGGAAAUGAUAUAAAUAGAGACAAUCGGACAGAGAGAUAUAACCGAGCGAGGAAGCGAGUUAUAAUACAUAAGAACCGAGAGAGGAACCGAGCUACGGACGUUACCUACCCAGGAGGGGUUACCUACCAUAAUGUAGAAAAAUGGAGACGACGGGACCUAGGUGGGUCACCCACCUAAGUUGCCGUACGUAUGUAUAUAUUUUGUUAUAUGUUUUAUUAUGUUUUAUUAUAUGUGUUACUAAUAAAGUCAAGUGAAACAACUAAUCUGCGGCUACGGCUCUACCUUGGCUAUCUACGCUUCUGCUGCUAACUUUUCUACCAUUUGCUGACGAAACAACGCUGCCACCUUCUACGCUGUCGACCUACGAGAACCCGAAGUCUUUACCUAAAACCCCAGUACAAUAUAGUAGUAUAAUUAUAGAUAACAUAUAUACACAGAUAUUACGAUACAGACCAGCGUGGGACUGUGGUGCUGUAGGAUAUAGUAUUAUUCUGAUACAGGGUUACAAUUUAAGGAUUACAGGAUUUCUUAAAUACUUAUUGAUUUCUCGCUAUCUUCUUUUGUAUCGUCCUUGACGUCAGACUUUGGACCUAAAUGGAAACUAGUGUUCAAUGGUACUGCGGGCGUUUCCAUGAAUCUGUACACACUGUGGAUGUCGGACAGCGUACUGAACGUAAAUGUACCAGAGGCAAUGAUUCCCACUUCUCACUACCGUAUCAACUACAAGUCACACAUGGCAAACGACUGGACAUAUAUAUAGAGGAGUGGUCUGUGCCAGGAUGGAGAAGAGUGGUUUUCAGAAGACAACAUAAUUGAUUCGUCAUUCUCCGAUCUUUCCCCGCCCACCAUGUACUGCAGUAUCGAAUGAGACGCUGAUUCUGACAUGCCGAGACAGUUCUUCAUUCAUGAUUCCUACACCGGCUGCUUUAAUGACCCUGGGUGCAUGGAUAGUCGUGUUGGACAGAAUGAGCCCACAGGAGGAUGACCCAUGUCAAUGGGGAAUGAGGCACCCAUCAAAACGACCUAUGUUCCUGUAUUGUCCGGAUGGGCAAAAAUGUUCAGCUACAUGUAAGUUUACCAACACUACAGUUAGUACUUCUUAGAUAACGUACACAUCUGCCGAUACGAUGCUGAUUUUUGUAAGACAUGGUUACGGCACCCUACCUACGCCAACACCUUCAACACCAACAACAUUACCAACCACCCCGACAACAUCUCCAUCCACACCAACAACAUCACCAACCACA